CCGCUCGACAAUGAUGAGAUGAUCGCCUACAUCAUGAGCGUCCUCGACCACAACUUCAAUCCGAUCGUCUCCACCUUGAUGACUAAGGUUGAGCCGAUUUCGGUAGCUGAGUUGUAUUCCCAAUUGCUUAGCUUCGAAA
This 139-nucleotide small nucleolar RNA is filed under the name Setaria italica (foxtail millet). RNAcentral's name for it is "Small nucleolar RNA Z247". It matches the Rfam family "Small nucleolar RNA Z247". From Rfam's summary of the family: Z247 is a member of the C/D class of snoRNA which contain the C (UGAUGA) and D (CUGA) box motifs. Most of the members of the box C/D family function in directing site-specific 2'-O-methylation of substrate RNAs. RNAcentral also lists the same sequence under 1 other name. Lineage: Eukaryota; Viridiplantae; Streptophyta; Magnoliopsida; Poales; Poaceae. The record is from Rfam by way of RNAcentral.